AAAAGGCGGCGUAAGCUGUCGCUAAAGGAUGGACCCGCGGUGCAUUAGCUAGUUGGUAAGGUAACGGCUUACCAAGGCGACGAUGCAUAGCCGAGUUGAGAGACUGAUCGGCCACAUUGGGACUGAGACACGGCCCAAACUCCCACGGGAGGCAGCAGUAGGGAAUCUUCCACAAUGGGCGAAAGCCUGAUGGAGCAACGCCGCGUGAGUGAAGAAGGUUUUCGGAUCGUAAAGCUCUGUUGUUGGUGAAGAAGGAUAGAGGUAGUAACUGGCCCCUAUUUGACGGUAAUCAACCAGAAAGUCACGGCUAACUACGUGCCAGCAGCCGCGGUAAUACGUAGGUGGCAAGCGUUGUCCGGAUUUAUUGGGCGUAAAGCGAGCGCAGGCGGAAAGAUAAGUCUGAUGUGAAAGCCCCCGGCUUAACCGAGGAAUUGCAUCGGAAACUGUGUUUCUUGAGUGUAGAAGAGGAGAGUGGAACUCCAUGUGUAGCGGUGGAAUGCGUAGAUAUAUGGAAGAACACCAGUGGCGAAGGCGGCUCUCUGGUCUGUAACUGACGCUGAGGCUCGAAAGCAUGGGUAGCGAACAGGAUUAGAUACCCUGGUAGUCCAUGCCGUAAACGAUGAGUGCUAAGUGUUGGGAGGUUUCCGCCUCUCA
RNAcentral lists this ribosomal RNA (654 nucleotides) under uncultured bacterium. RNAcentral's name for it is "bacterial SSU rRNA". It matches the Rfam family "Bacterial small subunit ribosomal RNA", at positions 202 to 842 of the family's 1533-position model. The record is from RNAcentral.